GGCGUGGUGGUGCAGUGGGUAGCACUGCUGCCUCACAGCAAGAGGGUCCUGGGUUGAAUCCCAGCCAGGGCC
Molecule: transfer RNA, 72 nt
Filed under: Anguilla anguilla (European eel)
Lineage: Eukaryota; Metazoa; Chordata; Actinopteri; Anguilliformes; Anguillidae
Description: tRNA-OTHER
Source: RNAcentral